Molecule: ribosomal RNA, 505 nt
Filed under: Metamycoplasma equirhinis
Lineage: Bacteria; Bacillati; Mycoplasmatota; Mycoplasmoidales; Metamycoplasmataceae
Description: bacterial LSU rRNA
Rfam family: Bacterial large subunit ribosomal RNA
Source: RNAcentral
UAUUAAACAAGAUAAGAGUUUUUGGUGGAUGCCUUGGGUCUGGAAGUCGAUGAAGGACGUGAUUACCUGCGAUAAGCCUCGGUUAGCUGGAAAUAAGCUGUUAUCCGGGGAUUUCCGAAUGGGGAAACCUAAUUGAGCUAAUCCUCAAUUGUCAUAUCGAUGAAUUCAUAGUCGAAUGAAGAGACACGCUGUGAAUUGAAACAUCUCAGUAGCAGCAGGAAGAGAAAAUAAAGAAUGAUUCCCUUAGUAGUGGCGAGCGAACGGGGAAAAGCCCAAACCAACACUUGUUGUUGGGGUUAUAGGACUAUUUACAUGAAGUUACAAAACUUAAACAUAGCAGAAUAAGUUGGAACGCUUAAACAUAGAGGGUGAAAUUCCCGUAAGCGAAAUGAAUAAGUCUUCUAAUAGUAUCCUGAGUAGGGUGGGGCACGUGAAACCCUGUCUGAAUUUGCCGGGACCACCCGGUAAGGCUAAAUACUAACCAGACACCGAUAGCGAACUAGUA